This 74-nucleotide transfer RNA is filed under the name Rhizobium oryzihabitans. RNAcentral's name for it is "Rhizobium sp. M15 tRNA-Gly". It matches the Rfam family "tRNA". From Rfam's summary of the family: Transfer RNA (tRNA) molecules are approximately 80 nucleotides in length. Their secondary structure includes four short double-helical elements and three loops (D, anti-codon, and T loops). Lineage: Bacteria; Pseudomonadati; Pseudomonadota; Alphaproteobacteria; Hyphomicrobiales; Rhizobiaceae. The record is from RNAcentral.
GCGGGUGUAGCUCAAUGGUAGAGCAGCAGCUUCCCAAGCUGAUGAUGGGGUUUCGACUACCCUCACCCGCUCCA